Molecule: long non-coding RNA, 2866 nt
Organism: Marmota monax (woodchuck)
Lineage: Eukaryota; Metazoa; Chordata; Mammalia; Rodentia; Sciuridae
Exons: 3
Source: RefSeq, a predicted model, not a curated record
GCCUCCCUCUGUGCCUCUGCCUGCCUGUCUCAGGCUGCUGCAGCACUUGGCCUGGUAGAGUGCAGGGAGGGGGUCUCCUGGACUCCAUUUCUCCUCUUCUGAGAUUUCACUCCUCAGGUGCCCCAGCCAGACCUAGUUAGAGCAGUGGGAACAUAUUUUAUUCAUUAACUGCUGAGGGUGGAAGAAGGUGCUGACAUUCACCAGGGAGCCAGGACAGGCCCUGCCUCUGAGCUGGGAGGAGCUCCUGCACAGCGCAUGGCCAAAGGGGCGUGGUCAAUAAGGGGCAGGGCCUUGCCGCCAUCUUUAAUGCUGCCUCCUUGAGAAUGAGGAGCUGACUUCCCUCUCAGGACCAACCCGGGAGAGCCCCAGUCCUGGGAGUGUUGGGUCACUCCACAGGGAGUGGCAGAGCCCCCUUCUCAGAGCAGAUUGAGAGAGACACCCAGGUUGUGGACUCUCAUGGGUCAUGCCUCCAGGGGCUCACGGAGCUCCCUUCUCAGAGCAGCCUCAGCGUGUGGAUUCUUGGCUUAGGGACUUUCAUCAUGAACAUUUGAAAUAAAAUCAGAAUUUGUUAAAGGGCAGAUGACAGCCAGCCUUGAGCCCUGAUGAUCCCAGGAUCCCAUCCAGUGGGAGAACUCUACAUAUCAGUCCAAGCUUUUGAUCCCAUCUAGGAGCCAACAUGACAUCCAGUCAUCAUGUCUCCAUAGACUUCUCUUGGGGUGACAGUUUCUAUGAACUUCCUUGUUCUGAUGACCUUGAGAGCAUUGAGGACGACUUGUCAGGUAUUUUUAUAAUUUUUUUUUGAAUCUUCCUUUUUUUCAUAUUUAAACUGGGGUUUGUGGGUCUGGGGGAGGCAGGUCACAGAGGUGAAGAGCUGCUCUGUCAUCUCUUGUCCUUAUUGUCCUAUUAGUAUUGACUGUGCUCACCUGGCUGAGGCAGUGUCUUUCAGGUUUCCUUGUGUUUCUCAUAUUUAGCCUGGGGCUAUUGGACUGGGGGAAGCUGGUCACUGAGAUGAAAAGCAGCUCUAUCAUCUCAUGCCCUCAAGGUGAAAUGGUAGUAUUGAUUGUGCUCACCUGCUUGAGGAAGGGCCUUUCAGGUUUCUUACUGUGAAGUUACUCUUUUUUUGCAUGUCCACAUUGUCUGUUCUUCGGGAGGAAGUCGUAAUGCAGAGCCCACGCUUAGGGAUCAGAGAGUUAGCUCUACCUCCUUGAUGACUGUGUCUCUCUCAAUUCUAUAGAAUUCUUCUGCACAAGAGGUUUCUACUCAACCUCAUUUGUUUGUGUAUUCAGUCAUUUAUAUAUAUCAGUCAUCUGGAUAAUUUGCUUAAGCUGAUUUUUGUCCCCCCCCCCCUUUUUAAAAAAUACUUUCCUGCUCAAUUUAUCCCUACUUUAACCAUUGGGAAUUCUUUCCAUUCUCUCCUGUUGUCCUUUAACAUAUUUUCUGGUUUUGUCCCAAAGUUUUUUCUUUCUGAUAUUUAAAUUACCCUGACUUAUAUAUUUACUGUCUUACUUUUAGUAUCAGCCAUUUCUUCAAAGAGUCAUGGCUCCUUUGAUUGGAGAGUGAUAUUAAAAUCUUUCAUCUGGCAGGGGCUGGGGUUGUGACUCAGUGGCAGUGUACUCAUCUGGCAUGUGUGAGGCACUGGGUUCGAUCCUCAGCACCACAUAAAAAUAAACAAAUAAAAUAAAGGUCUUUAAACAGUGUAUAAAAAAUAUUUCAUCUUGCAUCUUGAUCCACACAACUGACAAUGCAAAGAAGUUUAUGUGUAUUCUAAUCUUUUCAUACCCCCUAGUUAUAACUAUGUUUAUGUGGAACCAUCUGUGAAUGUAUUAAGCAAAAUGUGAGUUUAUACUGAUCUGCAAUCAGUGGAUUCUGACCCAUUAUGACAUAGAUCCCUCUGCCUUCACCCCUUGUUUAUCAUAACUUCUCACCCCAUCAGUGGGAAAUCUAGCUCCCAGUUUCUGCCAUAUAAUUAAUUCAUUGUUCCAUUAUGAGCAAUGAAUUCAUUAUUGCUCCAGAUUAUGGGCUGUGACAUAAUAAGAAAUACACAUUCAGCCUCUGCACCCAGUUCCUGGUGCAGCACUCCUAAAAUCUUCAUAUUUGCUGAGUGACAGAGGUGUUUGGAGCAUUUUUUUGUCCUAAUAUUGAUUCUUUUACCUUGGUUAUUUGCACAGAGCUCCUAAAUCCUGCAGAAUCUCCUGGGGGCCUAGGAGGGGCUUGUGCUUUAAUAAGGACUUUUGGUGGGCUCUAGGGAAGCUUCAGGAUGGAGGAUGGUCAUGAGAAAAACCACAGGAAGGGUGGUGCACCGCAACUCCAUGUAGAUGGAGACUCCUGUGCUGGGAGGCACCUGGGCCUCAUCCUGCACAAGUCUUCCUCUGUAAUUUUGUCUUUUCUAGAAUGUCAUAAAAGGUAAACCAUACAGCAUGUAGCCUCUUCAGCCUGGCUUAUUUCACUUAGUGUACCAGGUAGAAUUUAUCUAUUUCUCUGUGUAGGGUGGUAGUUCAUUCCUUUAUAUUCUGUGUUGGUUAUGCAUUCAGGUAUGGGAGGACAUUUUUUUUUGAAUUUUAAUAUUCAUUUUUUAGUUUUCGGCGGACACAACAUCUUUGUUUGUAUGUGGUGCUGAGGAUCGAACCUGGGCUGCAUGUAUGCCAAGCGAGCACGCUACCACUUGAGCCACAUCCCCAGCCCUGGGAGGACAUUCUUAUUUAUGAUCUGAUCAGCAUCAUAGAGCUGCUAUUCAUAAUUACAUGCUAGUUUUGUUUUGACAUAGUUUUUCAAAGAAUUUCUCUAAAAGAAGAUGAUUUAUAGGGACACUACUGGGUUAUAGAUUGGACUUUUUUGCUUUGGGAAGAACUGGCACAUCAUCUUCCAA